GAAGCAGCCACCCUUUAAAGAAAGCGUAAUAGCUCACUAGUCGAGUCGGCCUGCGCGGAAGAUGUAACGGGGCUAAAACUAUGUGCCGAAGCUGCGGAUGUAUACUUUGUAUACGUGGUAGGGGAGCGUUCUGUAAGCCGAUGAAGGUGUGUUGAGAAGCNAUGCUGGAGGUAUCAGAAGUGCGAAUGCUGACGUGAGUAACGACAAAACGGGUGAAAAACCCGUUCGCCGAAAGACCAAGGGUUCCAGUCCAACGUUAAUCGGGGCUGGGUGAGUCGACCCCUAAGGCGAGGCCGAAAGGCGUAGUCGAUGGGAAAAUGGUUAAUAUUCCAUUACUUCUGUGUAAUGCGAUGAGAGGACGGAGAAGGCUAAAUCAGCCUGGCGUUGGUUGUCCAGGUGAAAGGAUGUAGGCAUGUAUCUUAGGCAAAUCCGGGGUACUCUAUGCUGAGAUCUGAUAGCAAGCUGUACUUGUACAGCGAAGUGGUUGAUGCCAUGCUUCCAGGAAAAGUCUCUAAGCUUCAGUUACACAGGAAUCGUACCCGAAACCGACACAGGUGGUCAGGUCGAGUAGACCAAGGCGCUUGAGAGAACUCUGCUGAAGGAACUAGGCAAAAUGGUACCGUAACUUCGGGAGAAGGUACGCUGUUGUUGGUGAUGGAACUCGCUUCCUGAGCUGACGACAGCCGCAGAAACCAGGCCGCUGCAACUGUUUAUUAAAAACAUAGCACUCUGCAAACACGAAAGUGGACGUAUAGGGUGUGAUGCCUGCCCGGUGCUGGAAGGUUAAUUGAUGGGGUUAGCGUAAGCGAAGCUCUUGAUCGAAGCCCCAGUAAACGGCGGCCGUAACUAUAACGGUCCUAAGGUAGCGAAAUUCCUUGUCGGGUAAGUUCCGACCUGCACGAAUGGCAUAAUGAUGGCGGCGCUGUCUCCAGCAGAGGCUCAGUGAAAUCGAAAUCGCUGUGAAGAUGCAGUGUACCCGCGGCUAGACGGAAAGACCCCGUGAACCUUUACUGCAGCUUGACACUGAACUUUGACCUUACUUGUGUAGGAUAGGUGGGAGGCUUUGAAGCUGGAACGCUAGUUCCAGUGGAGCCGUCCUUGAAAUNNNACCGUGUCUGGUGGGUAGUUUGACUGGGGCGGUCUCCUCCUAAAGAGUAACGGAGGAGUACGAAGGUGCGCUCAGCGUGGUCGGAAAUCACGCGUAGAGUAUAAAGGCAAAAGCGCGCUUAACUGCGAGACCCACAAGUCGAGCAGGUACGAAAGUAGGUCUUAGUGAUCCGGUGGUUCUGUAUGGAAGGGCCAUCGCUCAACGGAUAAAAGGUACUCUGGGGAUAACAGGCUGAUACCGCCCAAGAGUUCAUAUCGACGGCGGUGUUUGGCACCUCGAUGUCGGCUCAUCUCAUCCUGGGGCUGAAGCAGGUCCCAAGGG
RNAcentral lists this ribosomal RNA (1429 nucleotides) under Acinetobacter baumannii. RNAcentral's name for it is "partial 23S ribosomal RNA". It matches the Rfam family "Bacterial large subunit ribosomal RNA", at positions 1109 to 2571 of the family's 2925-position model. Lineage: Bacteria; Pseudomonadati; Pseudomonadota; Gammaproteobacteria; Moraxellales; Moraxellaceae. The record is from RNAcentral.